GUCCAGACUCCUACGGGAGGCAGCAGUGGGGAAUAUUGCACAAUGGGGGAAACCCUGAUGCAGCAACGCCGCGUGAGUGAAGAAGCGUUUCGGCGCGUAAAGCUCUGUCAGCGGGGAAGAAAGAAGACGGUACCCGACCAAGAAGCCCCGGCUAACUACGUGCCAGCAGCCGCGGUAAUACGUAGGGGGCGAGCGUUAUCCGGAUUUACUGGGUGUAAAGGGAGCGUAGACGGCUAUGCAAGUCUGGAGUGAAAGGCGGGGGCCCAACCCCCGGACUGCUCUGGAAACUGUAGAGCUAGAGUGCAGGAGAGGUAAGUGGGAUUCCUAGUGUAGCGGUGAAAUGCGUAGAUAUUAGGAGGAACACCAGUGGCGAAGGCGGCUUACUGGACUGUAACUGACGUUGAGGCUCGAAAGCGUGGGGAGCAAACAGGAUUAGAUACCCCAGUAAC
This 449-nucleotide ribosomal RNA is filed under the name uncultured bacterium. RNAcentral describes it as "bacterial SSU rRNA". It matches the Rfam family "Bacterial small subunit ribosomal RNA", at positions 329 to 794 of the family's 1533-position model. The record is from RNAcentral.